RNAcentral lists this long non-coding RNA (433 nucleotides) under Rattus norvegicus (Norway rat). Its description in RNAcentral is "long non-coding RNA NONRATT023968". Lineage: Eukaryota; Metazoa; Chordata; Mammalia; Rodentia; Muridae. The record is from RNAcentral.
AGAGGGCUUAACAGUUCAGCCAGUGGCUCAGGUGAUACAGCCAGAGUAGCCUUUCUGAAGGAUGUCUCCUGGAACUUUCAGGUCCAGGGGUGGGGCCAUUCAAACUUUCCUGGAGAUGCCUGGUUUUCCAAAGGGGAGGGAGAAGGCCUGGAGACAAAGGCUGGAGUGAGCGAGUUCACUGUGAGGUGGGUUCAGACCCUUCUUCUGGUAGCACACACUGGAGUUCAGUCUGCUUCUGGGAAAAUGGUAUUCAGGAGGGCUGCCUGGUGGCUGUGCAAUCCUUUAGUCCCAGCACUCAGGUGGCUGAUGCAGGUGAAUUUCUGUGAGUUUGGGGCCAGGCUGGUCUACAUAGUGAUCUCUAGACCAAACAAGGAUACAUAGUAAGACCUUGUCUUAAAAAGUAAAAUUAAAUAAAAUUUUUUAAAAAAGAAAA